AGCUCAUUGCUGAUCCUUUCUACUCCUUGAUGUCCCUUCCUCCUCAUUUUUGUUCCUUCUCCUACUUUACCUUUGUGCUCCUUCUGUCCCUUCCUGCUCCUUGCUGCCCUUUCCAGCUCCUUGCUUACCAUUUCUGCUCCUUCCACUUUACCUUUGUGCUGCUUUACCUUCCAGCUCCUUGCUGCUUCUUGCUGACCCUUCCUGCUCCCUGCU
This is a non-coding RNA of Pelobates cultripes (western spadefoot toad), 213 nucleotides long. The record is from the annotation of a GenBank genome assembly. Lineage: Eukaryota; Metazoa; Chordata; Amphibia; Anura; Pelobatidae.